RNAcentral lists this ribosomal RNA (446 nucleotides) under uncultured eukaryote. Its description in RNAcentral is "SSU rRNA". It matches the Rfam family "Eukaryotic small subunit ribosomal RNA", at positions 592 to 1018 of the family's 1831-position model. The record is from RNAcentral.
CAAUAGCGUAUAUUAAAGUUGCUGCGGUUAAAAGCUCGUAGUUGGAUCUCGGGGACAGGCUUGCGGUCCACCUCGCGGUGGUUCUUACUGCUUGCUACCUGUACUCAUGAGCUGGUCGUUGAAAUAUACCUCUGGACCCCUGGUGCUCUUCGCUGAGUGUCUUGGGUGGCCAGCGCGUUUACUUUGAAAAAUUAGAGUGUUCAAAGCAGGUAAAGUCGCCUGUAUAAUGUUGCAUGGAAUGAUGGAAUAGGACCUCGGUUCUAAUUUCGUUGGUUUUGCGGAGCUCGAGGUAAUGAUUGAGAGGGACUGCCGGGGGCAUUCGUAUUGCGGUGGGAGAGGUGAAAUUCUUGGAUCAUCGCAAGACGAACGACAGCGAAAGCAUUUGCCAAGAAUGUCUUCCUUAGUCAAGAACGAAAGUCAGAGGUUCGAAGAUGAUCAGAUACCAU